RNAcentral lists this transfer RNA (72 nucleotides) under Ornithorhynchus anatinus (platypus). It matches the Rfam family "tRNA". From Rfam's summary of the family: Transfer RNA (tRNA) molecules are approximately 80 nucleotides in length. Their secondary structure includes four short double-helical elements and three loops (D, anti-codon, and T loops). Further hydrogen bonds mediate the characteristic L-shaped molecular structure. tRNAs have two regions of fundamental functional importance: the anti-codon, which is responsible for specific mRNA codon recognition, and the 3' end, to which the tRNAs corresponding amino acid is attached (by aminoacyl-tRNA synthetases). tRNAs cope with the degeneracy of the genetic code in two manners: having more than one tRNA (with a specific anti-codon) for a particular amino acid; and 'wobble' base-pairing, i.e. permitting non-standard base-pairing at the 3rd anti-codon position. Lineage: Eukaryota; Metazoa; Chordata; Mammalia; Monotremata; Ornithorhynchidae. The record is from Rfam by way of RNAcentral.
AGCAGCGUGGCUCAGUGGAAAGAGCCCGGGCUUGGGAUACAGAGGUCAUGGGUUCGAAUCCCAGCUCUGCCA